Long non-coding RNA from Balaenoptera musculus (blue whale), 2820 nucleotides. RefSeq lists it as uncharacterized. The transcript is spliced from 3 exons. The record is from RefSeq and is a predicted model, not a curated record. NCBI's taxonomy places the organism in Eukaryota, Metazoa, Chordata, Mammalia, Artiodactyla, Balaenopteridae.
GGUCCGAGGGCUCCGCGGAGACGGGGGACGGCGCGGAAGUCGGGGCUCCCUUUCACCCCCUCCCGCCCAGCGGGCCCGCGCCCGCCCUGCCUCCGGAGCUCCAGGUGAACUCGCGCUCAGCUUCCGUCGUUCUCCAGUCCGCAGAGUUGGCCCCGCGGGUCCCGACGGGCCUGCCCUCUGGAGGGUCGCAGGGCGGUCUCCUCCCGGCGGUCGCAUCGGCCCAGGAGGUCCCCGGGGCAGGCGCACAACUGCGGGAAACUCGCCAGCGGGGACGGUAUCUUCCUUCCUCCCCAAGUUCUGGGCGCUCGGAAGCGGGCCCGGCCCGGCGCGGGGGGCACUCGGACCAGUUGUGGGGCGGAGGCGGUGCGGGGACGCGCGGGGCCGGGGCCGGGGGGAGGCGGGCCGCCGCCAGCCGAGAGCGACCGGAGGCCAUUCCCGCGGGGCCCGGGGGCACGUCCCCGCUCCUCCCCUCGUCCCGCCCGCCGCGCUCCGAGCUCGGGCCUGAGCAGAGGGGCCCUCGGGACGCGCGCCACAGCCCCGGCCGCCCGGAGCGGGGGCCGCCGCUCGCCGCCCGCCUUCCAGGGACGCGAACCCGGGCGGGGGGGGCCGGGGGGAGGGGAGGAGACUGGCCGAAGUGUUUUCUCGCUGUUGGUUUUGCUUUGCUUCGUUUCUAGGGCUGACUCCACCUGCCUCUAAGUGGGGGCUUCUCAAACUCUGGCGCGCGUCAGCGUCAUCUGGCGGGGGUGUGCGAGCUCACGGCUGGGCCCUACCCUAGGGCUUCGGAGUCAGUAGGCCCGGGAUGGGCCCCAAAGUAUUUCUAGCAAGAACGUGCUGAUGCCGGGUCCCCUUGCUGGGAUCUUUCGGGCCCGCCCGUGCCCGGUGUGGAAUGCCGUGGCGGCAUCUCAACUUGGGGACUUACAAGAGGCCCCAGAUACACCUGGUUUGUCAAGAUGGAACAACAUCAAGAUUUGGGGAAGAAGGUGGGAACUCCCUGGCGGUCCAGUGGUUAGGACUUCGCGCUUUCCCUGCGGAGGAGGGGUUCAGGAAUGAGCAAGUGACCCAGCCAGUAAGACGCGAGGGGGACGUCCGAGAGGAAGCUUCCAUCCUUUUGCCAAGAGGAGGUGCGACGGUGCUAUAGCGCCCACGACAGUCGAGGCCACCUUGCCAACCUUCAGAGAUGUCUUGUGUGCAGCCCUGAUGGAGGAAUCCUAGCCUGCUGUGACACCACUGUGCACAUCUACGUAUGCUCCAGACCCCUCACCCGACAUCAUGUGACUCCAUCCGCUUUCACACCCUCCUGUCUAGUCCCCUUCAGAUGACAUUUUCUGCAAAGCUCCCCUAGGAACCCCCUGGGCUGAUGUGAGCCGAGGCAGCAGGGCCCCAGGCCUGCCUGAGAAAGGGCAGUUCUACCUGGUUUACACACUGGGCUUUGCCAAGCUUUGGUUUGAGCAAAGCAUUCCACAGCAGAACCACAAAUGUCACCAUCACCAUCCUCACCAUCAUAUUAAAACCAGCACUCUCGAGGACGCUCUUCCCUUGAAAGUACUGGUGCUCUCCUCGUUGCCUGGAGCGUCCUGCCACCUCCACUUACUGAACUUGCCUGGUCUUUAAGGCAGUUUCCAAAUUUUUGCCUCCUUUGGGACGUUUUUCUGGAACAGCCCAGUUAGUAAUGAUGACUUCUGCUCCGAGGCAGAUUUAUGGUGAAACUACGGACGCGUAAGUGUUCUCGGGCCCCUUCUGAUGUGUUCGCAUAGUCAUGCAAUGAAGUAAAAUACAUAUUUUAUGGCAAGAUAAGAAAAAUUUAAACGUCCAUUUUUUUCUCUGCUCAUUUGGACCUCCUCACUACCCCUUAGAGUGUAUUUCGCCUCUGCGUUAACCAGACCUCCUUAGGAGAUACCAUUCCUUCUUAAUCUUACAGAGUCAGGAUGACCCACUACUUGCUUUGUAUAUGCAGAUCUGGAUUGUAUAAACUGUAAAUAAUACAUCAUUUGACGUAUAACCCUUUGUCUCAAAAACUUACAUAACUGUGCUUUGACAGUCCUCAGAGCUUUCUGAAAGACUGUCUCCCCGAUUAAAAUUGUCAGGUUGGCCUGAAUAAAAUUUUCCAUUUCUUUAUUAGAUCAACUAUCAGUUUUUUUCCUCAACAUAGUUUUUUUCAUCAACAAUACCAUCUUAACAAACAACCAUAUAUAUGUAGAGAAGAGACAAGACAAGGAAAGGAGGUUUAUAGUUUUAGGAGUGGCGAACCCAGGAAGACAAAUAUAUGAGAGAAACUCAUGGAAGAUAAGGGUUGUCUAGUAAGGUUUGUUGUGUAGAUUCCUCUGGUGCUGUCUCUGGGCUGAUAAGAGCCUAGAAUCAAUGAGUCUAUGAGUUCUCCUCCUCUUCCUGGUAUGAGGGAGGGAGACAGCUUCGCAAAUGGAAAUUAUGUCCAGCUUUUAGCCAGAUUCGGGGAGGGCAGAGAGGGUUUUUUUCUUGAUUUUCUCAACGUUGUUUCUUGAUUUUCUUCAGCUCAAAAUAAUCCUUAUGCCAAAGUGGCACAUUUUGCGGUGGCCUGUUCUGAUGCCCUCCAGUGUUGAGUGUGAUCCCCUGUCCUUUAGCCUGGGCAGGGCCUAGAGAUGCCUUCCUACUCGACAGUGAUGGGGUGUCACUUCUGUGAUUAGGUCUCUUGCUGGCACUGAAGAAGCCAGCUGCCAUGUUGUGAGAUGCUCUGGGGAGGCUCGUGGGGAAAGGAAUACUUUUUGAUGGUUAUCAUGUGAAAUAGAAUUGAUCAGAGCCCUGGGGACUUCCCUGGAGGUCCAGUGGUUGAGACUUCGACUUCCA